RNAcentral lists this ribosomal RNA (194 nucleotides) under uncultured bacterium. RNAcentral's name for it is "partial 16S ribosomal RNA". It matches the Rfam family "Bacterial small subunit ribosomal RNA", at positions 338 to 524 of the family's 1533-position model. The record is from RNAcentral.
CCUACGGGAGGCAGCAGUGAGGAAUAUUGGGCAAUGGCCGAAAGGCUGACCCAGCAACGCCGCGUGAGGGAUGAAGCUCUAAGGAGCGUAAACCUCUUUCGGGAGGGAAGAACUUCUCCAAAGUUAAUAAUUUUGGGAUUGACGGUACCUCCAAAGGAAGCACCGGCUAACUCCGUGCCAGCAGCCGCGGUAAU